UAAAAUUUAUUGUGACUUCAUCAUUUGCAAGAAACGAAUUUGCGCUUCAGUUGACUAUAUCGCUGAUUUGGCGGACCAAGGACCUUUUUUCUUAGCUCUUUUUCAAAGCGUUCGAUUUUUGUUGGUUUUAAAAAAAAGGGGACGGAAAGCAUUUCUUGGAGUCGUUAAGAAGUGUGCGAGAGACAGACAGAGAGAGAAUAGAGAAAGAGAGGAAAAUGUGUACCGAUUUGUGCUGUUAUUCAUACGGAUCGUGUUACUCGUGCUCACCAUGUACUAGUUUGCAUUCACAUUGCAGCUUGCGGUCAUGCAAAUAUCGUUCGUAUUGUGACCCAUGCGGAUUGGUCUGUGUUCCAGAAAUUCGAUUCUGUUACAUCUGUUAUCGUCGCCAUUGGAAGUGUCGCCACUAUUAAAUCACCACAAACAUAUAUAGAAAUCCUGCAGCAGUUUCAUGUUUGGUCACAUAGAGAACAAUUCUUGAACCAAAUUCCACAAUAUUUAACAUUGCCUCGCACACAUUUAGUUUAAAUGACACGCAUCAGCAACACUAUUUUGGUUUACACGAAAUACACCGGACGUUUCGGCAUCACAUUUUUGCAAAGAACAAAAAGAACACAAUGAACUCAGAGCUCGUUUGUCACCAAAGGGACGAAGCACACACAUAAAUAAAUACCAUUCACCUUCACAUGGGCAGAUUUUUUUUCGGCAUUUCUUGACAAAGAAACAGUGAUAAAUACAUUUUUAUUCGCAAACGUUGAAAACCUGUCAAAGCACCGUGCAAUGAAAACAGUAUGGUAUGGAUAUACGUUUGUAUGAAAAACAAGACUUGUGCGUAAUUUGUAUCGAUUUUGAAUAAACAAAUGAAAAUUCAUGUAAAACAGCAUUAAAUCGACAUAUCGCCAAUGUAAACGCUUAGCUUAGACGCAAAACGCAAAUGUAACAUGCAACUUCUGAAAUUCGCAAAAAAAAAUUGAUCAAAAUCGAUGGCACCAUUUGCAUAACUUUGUGGAAUAUUAAUUUGUUAUGAAUUCACUUUUACCACACCCAGACUCAGAGUUUUCUUUUACGACAUCAAUAGCGGGUUCAUAUUACAGAAAAAAUAACGUUAGGACAUGCACUAUCCACAAGCAAACCUCUUGAUAGAGUGAACGACGAAAAAUACACAAUUUUUUCUCAUGAAAUUUCAAGGCGUUACUUCCUUGGGCAAUUUCUUCUAUUCGAAAACUGAAAAGAAAAAAAAUCAGCGAAAGAAAUAGUAAUUUUCUUUUGCAUCAUUUUCUACCCAAAGUAAAUAGAACACAAAACAAAAUGCAAUAGUUCGCGCCAAACGGUGUUUAAAUUGUAGUCACCGUUGCUUUUCCAGAACAGCACCAAAAACAAUAAAAAAACUUUUUGAAGCUCCAAUUGAACAAAAGUCUCCUUAAAUGUUUUUUUGUUUUGUGUUUUUUUUGCUCUUGAUAAGUGUGAUCACUUGUGAUGAAUGAGUUUGCUGAAAUGUGAUGAGCCAUUCAAAACGAAACUGAAAUUACAUUAAAUGUGAAAAUUAAUUAUUGAUUGAGAGACAAUGAGCCGAUUGCGGGAAAGUGUUGUGAAUUGACAGGAUUGUGUGUGAAAUGCGAGCAUUGUUGUAGUAAUGUUCAUGUUUGUGAUCAUCAGUGAAAGAGUAUUAUAUUUCAUAAUAAUAUAAACAGAAUACACGCACCCAAAACGGCAAAGAGAUUAGAUAUAGAUGUGUUUUGUGUUUAUUUGUUAUGUAGAAGAGAUGAACAAAAAAACAUUCCAAUUUGACCAGAUAAUUUAGAUGUUGAACUGUUUUCCAUGAUUUUUCGCCUUCAAUUUUCUCUUGCCAUUCUUUGCGCACGCACAAUGACGACGCGCGAUCAGAUGAUGAUGAUGAUUCACUUUCUUGACGAUGAAGUUCAAAUGCGUUCAGUGUGUGAGAUGCAGAGAAUGAAAUGGGAGAAACAGAGCGCGCUCGCGCGUUCGAACGAUGUUCACAUUUAAAAUUGUUAUUAUUGUGUUUUUUUUGUGUGUUCAUGAGAUCAUGUAUGCAGAAAGACAAUGGAAUAAAACAUUGAACCAAUUGAAGAGAAAAAAACGCACACCGGGAGAGCGAGAGAGAGAGAGAGAAUGAAGCGAAACAAAAAUACAACAACUCACAUUAUAAUAUAUUCAUUGAAAUGCGGUAUUAAUGACUUUCGUCUGUUGUGGAAAGACAUUAUUUACUGGCGUCUCGCAUCGGCAAAAAUCUUACCGUCGCACUCGCGAAUUAGGUUAAUUCAAGUGCGCGGGGAGUAAAAUGUGGCUUUAAAACGUUCUUUUAAAACUUAUUUGAACCGGAAUAAGAUUUUCUUAAGAUCGACCAAAAAUAAUGACAGGCCGACAAAUUUAAUCAAAAGCAUUGUUUGCAUGCUUGAACGAGUGAAAGAGAGAGAACGAUUGAAUCUUGAAAUUUAGAAAAAGAAAAUGAAGACGUUGAUGAUGGAAAAAACAAUUAUAAUAGACAAAUAAAACGAUUUUUCUCUUGGCUCAAUUGUUUAUUGUUCAACAAUUAUUGUUCGAAAGUGAGAAGAGCUGAUUUUUUUUUGUUUGCUUCUUCUAACAAGCUCAAUCACAUUUUCGGCAUCAUAUAUGAUCACUUAAUUACAUUUGGGAAGUAAAAAAAAGCAUUAAACAAAUUUCAGAUGCCGAACACACAUUCGCUUUGAAAAUAAAUCAAACUUCGACACACAAGCUUAAGAAAAGGUGAAAAUGAAGGAAGAUGAUCAUAAAUGAAGUUGUUGUUUUUAUUUAGUUUAUUCAGAACUGCUUUUUUAAACAUCCGCAAUUUUUACGGGUAUGAAGGAAAAGUUAUAUUAGUAGUUCAGGAAAAACUGUCUCGUGCAUAUUUGUCAUUGAUUUCACUUUCUAAGGGUAAUGCACUUUAUUUUUCACAUAUUGAAAUUCAUAUUUUGAGAAUCAUAUUUUGUCUAAACUGGACAUUUUUUUCUAACACACUUUCUAAGGGUGAUUCCAAAUCAUUUCAAGGUCUCGAUUUUAGAUUAUCAGAUCUUUUUCGAUCCACAACCAUUCAAUUCAAUAUUAUACAAUUGUUCUCUUCAUUGAAUUUUAUAGAUUUCUCAAUCUUCUUUCGUCGAGAAACGUAUCCUGAAUUUGAUUGAGUUGCAAUUGUUUUAUGUAAAAUUAAGUGCUUCUAAUAAAUAUUAAAUCGAAAAUUGAUCACGCUAAAAUGCACACAAAAUGCAAGCGAAAUCAAUAGCCUAAUUAAUAUACCGAUUGAGAUUGUGGUCGAUACUUCGGUCCAUUAAAAUUUUCGCCAAUAUUUCUUACAAUAUUGUAGCUGAUAAUGAUACCCAUUGAAACGGCAAACAAAUUUACAUAUUUACUCUCAAUUGUUUAAUAGCAACAUGAUGUGUUGAGUGAAUUUCAGUCCAAUAAUUGC
Contarinia nasturtii (swede midge) is the source of this 3439-nucleotide long non-coding RNA. RefSeq lists it as uncharacterized. The record is from RefSeq and is a predicted model, not a curated record. Lineage: Eukaryota; Metazoa; Arthropoda; Insecta; Diptera; Cecidomyiidae. The transcript has 3 exons.